Molecule: ribosomal RNA, 490 nt
Filed under: uncultured bacterium
Lineage: Bacteria
Description: partial 16S ribosomal RNA
Rfam family: Bacterial small subunit ribosomal RNA
Source: RNAcentral
AUUGAACGCUGGCGGCAGGCCUAACACAUGCCAGUCGAACGGUAACAGGAAACAGCUUGCUGUUUCGCUGACGAGUGGCGGACGGGUGAGUAAUGUCUGGGAAACUGCCUGAUGGAGGGGGAUAACUACUGGAAACGGUAGCUAAUACCGCAUAACGUCGCAAGACCAAAGAGGGGGACCUUCGGGCCUCUUGCCAUCGGAUGUGCCCAGAUGGGAUUAGCUAGUAGGUGGGGUAACGGCUCACCUAGGCGACGAUCCCUAGCUGGUCUGAGAGGAUGACCAGCCACCCUGGAACUGAGACACGGUCCAGACUCCUACGGGAGGCAGCAGUGGGGAAUAUUGCACAAUGGGCGCAAGCCUGAUGCAGCCAUGCCGCGUGUAUGAAGAAGGCCUUCGGGUUGUAAAGUACUUUCAGCGGGGAGGAAGGGAGUAAAGUUAAUACCUUUACUCAUUGACGUUACCCGCAGAAGAAGCACCGGCUAACUCCGUG